UGAUUAUGGCUCAGAACGAACGCUGGCGGCGUGGAUAAGACAUGCAAGUCGAACGAGAGAAUUGCUAGCUUGCUAAUAAUUCUCUAGUGGCGCACGGGUGAGUAACACGUGAGUAACCUGCCCCCGAGAGCGGGAUAGCCCUGGGAAACUGGGAUUAAUACCGCAUAGUAUCGAAAGAUUAAAGCAGCAAUGCGCUUGGGGAUGGGCUCGCGGCCUAUUAGUUAGUUGGUGAGGUAACGGCUCACCAAGGCGAUGACGGGUAGCCGGUCUGAGAGGAUGUCCGGCCACACUGGAACUGAGACACGGUCCAGACACCUACGGGUGGCAGCAGUCGAGAAUCAUUCACAAUGGGGGAAACCCUGAUGGUGCGACGCCGCGUGGGGGAAUGAAGGUCUUCGGAUUGUAAACCCCUGUCAUGUGGGAGCAAAUUAAAAAGAUAGUACCACAAGAGGAAGAGACGGCUAACUCUGUGCCAGCAGCCGCGGUAAUACAGAGGUCUCAAGCGUUGUUCGGAAUCACUGGGCGUAAAGCGUGCGUAGGCUGUUUCGUAAGUCGUGUGUGAAAGGCGCGGGCUCAACCCGCGGACGGCACAUGAUACUGCGAGACUAGAGUAAUGGAGGGGGAACCGGAAUUCUCGGUGUAGCAGUGAAAUGCGUAGAUAUCGAGAGGAACACUCGUGGCGAAGGCGGGUUCCUGGACAUUAACUGACGCUGAGGCACGAAGGCCAGGGGAGCGAAAGGGAUUAGAUACCCCUGUAGUCCUGGCAGUAAACGGUGCACGCUUGGUGUGCGGGGAAUCGACCCCCUGCGUGCCGGAGCUAACGCGUUAAGCGUGCCGCCUGGGGAGUACGGUCGCAAGAUU
This 861-nucleotide ribosomal RNA is filed under the name uncultured Bacteroidota bacterium. RNAcentral describes it as "bacterial SSU rRNA". It matches the Rfam family "Bacterial small subunit ribosomal RNA", at positions 14 to 895 of the family's 1533-position model. The record is from RNAcentral. Lineage: Bacteria; Pseudomonadati; Bacteroidota.